Molecule: ribosomal RNA, 253 nt
Filed under: uncultured bacterium
Lineage: Bacteria
Description: partial 16S ribosomal RNA
Rfam family: Bacterial small subunit ribosomal RNA
Source: RNAcentral
UACGUAGGUGGCAAGCGUUGUCCGGAAUCAUUGGGCGUAAAGCGCGCGUAGGCGGCCCGAUAAGUCCGCUGUAAAAGUCAACGGCUCAACUGUUGAAAGCCGGUGGAUACUGUCGGGCUAGAGUACGGAAGAGGCAAGUGGAAUUCCUGGUGUAGCGGUGGAAUGCGCAGAUAUCAGGAGGAACACCUAUAGCGAAGGCAGCUUGCUGGGACGUUACUGACGCUAAGGCGCGAAAGCGUGGGGAGCGAACAGG